CAAAGAACUUGAUACCUAUCAUGCAAUGAACACAUCUUAAUCUGUUGCAGAUGCAGAUGCUACUGGCAUCAUCACCGCCUAAUAAUGACGUAUGAAAGAGAUUCUAUGGUACUGUACUCUGCUGGAUUCAAACCUAGAUUUUUACAAACUUAUGUGGCUUCGUCUUGGGACUGUUCUCCGCUGGUGUCUGAACUCACAAUCUAGGUUUAG
RNAcentral lists this unclassified non-coding RNA (210 nucleotides) under Hevea brasiliensis (rubber tree). Lineage: Eukaryota; Viridiplantae; Streptophyta; Magnoliopsida; Malpighiales; Euphorbiaceae. The record is from RNAcentral.